This 263-nucleotide ribosomal RNA is filed under the name uncultured bacterium. RNAcentral's name for it is "partial 16S ribosomal RNA". The record is from RNAcentral.
CUGCUGCCUCCCGUAGGAGUUUGGGCCGUGUCUCAGUCCCAAUGUGGCCGUCCACCCUCUCAGGCCGGCUACUGAUCGUCGCCUUGGUGGGCCGUUACCCCGCCAACAAGCUAAUCAGACGCGGGUCCAUCUUACACCACCGGAGUUUUUCACACAAAUCCAUGCGGCUUCGUGCGCUUAUGCGGUAUUAGCGCCUAUUUCUAAGUGUUAUCCCCCAGUGUAAGGCAGGUUACCCACGCGUUACUCACCCGUCCGCCACUAAG